Molecule: ribosomal RNA, 312 nt
Filed under: uncultured bacterium
Lineage: Bacteria
Description: bacterial SSU rRNA
Rfam family: Bacterial small subunit ribosomal RNA
Source: RNAcentral
GAUGAACGCUGGCGGCGUGCCUAACACAUGCAAGUCGAACGGACUUAAUAUGAAACCUAGUGAAUAUUAAGUUAGUGGCGGACGGGUGAGUAACGCGUGGAUAACCUGCCGUAUGCAGGGGGAUACCAACUGGAAACAGUUGCUAAUACCGCAUAAGCGCACAGUGCUGCAUGGCACAGUGUGAAAAGAAAUUCGGCAUACGAUGGAUCCGCGUCCGAUUAGCCAGUUGGCGGGGUAACGGCCCACCAAAGCGACGAUCGGUAGCCGGCCUGAGAGGGCGGACGGCCACAUUGGGACUGAGACACGGCCCAA